GAUGAACGCUGGCAGCGUGCUUAACACAUGCAAGUCGAACGAAACACCUUAUUUGAUUUUCUUCGGAACUGAAGAUUUGGUGAUUGAGUGGCGGACGGGUGAGUAACGCGUGGGUAACCUGCCCUGUACAGGGGGAUAACAGUCAGAAAUGACUGCUAAUACCGCAUAAGACCACAGCACCGCAUGGUGCAGGGGUAAAAACUCCGGUGGUACAGGAUGGACCCGCGUCUGAUUAGCUGGUUGGUGAGGUAACGGCUCACCAAGGCGACGAUCAGUAGCCGGCUUGAGAGAGUGAACGGCCACAUUGGGACUGAGACACGGCCCAAACUCCUACGGGAGGCAGCAGUGGGGAAUAUUGCACAAUGGGGGAAACCCUGAUGCAGCGACGCCGCGUGAGUGAAGAAGUAUUUCGGUAUGUAAAGCUCUAUCAGCAGGGAAGAAAAUGACGGUACCUGACGAAGAAGCCCCGGCUAACUACGUG
RNAcentral lists this ribosomal RNA (481 nucleotides) under uncultured bacterium. RNAcentral describes it as "partial 16S ribosomal RNA". It matches the Rfam family "Bacterial small subunit ribosomal RNA", at positions 28 to 507 of the family's 1533-position model. The record is from RNAcentral.